RNAcentral lists this ribosomal RNA (497 nucleotides) under uncultured bacterium. RNAcentral's name for it is "partial 16S ribosomal RNA". It matches the Rfam family "Bacterial small subunit ribosomal RNA", at positions 28 to 507 of the family's 1533-position model. The record is from RNAcentral.
GAUGAACGCUGGCGGCGUGCCUAAUACAUGCAAGUCGAGCGAACAGACGAGGAGCUUGCUCCCCUGACGUUAGCGGCGGACGGGUGAGUAACACGUGGAUAACCUACCUGUAAGACUGGGAUAACUUCGGGAAACCGGAGCUAAUACCGGAUAAUAUAUUGAACCGCAUGGUUCAAUAGUGAAAGACGGUUUUGCUGUCACUUAUAGAUGGAUCCGCGCCGCAUUAGCUAGUUGGUAAGGUAACGGCUUACCAAGGCAACGAUGCGUAGCCGACCUGAGAGGGUGAUCGGCCACACUGGAACUGAGACACGGUCCAGACUCCUACGGGAGGCAGCAGUAGGGAAUCUUCCGCAAUGGGCGAAAGCCUGACGGAGCAACGCCGCGUGAGUGAUGAAGGUCUUCGGAUCGUAAAACUCUGUUAUUAGGGAAGAACAAAUGUGUAAGUAACUAUGCACGUCUUGACGGUACCUAAUCAGAAAGCCACGGCUAACUACGUG